Molecule: ribosomal RNA, 393 nt
Filed under: uncultured bacterium
Lineage: Bacteria
Description: partial 16S ribosomal RNA
Rfam family: Bacterial small subunit ribosomal RNA
Source: RNAcentral
AUACGGAGGAUCCGAGCGUUAUCCGGAUUUAUUGGGUUUAAAGGGUGCGUAGGUGGCUUGAUAAGUCAGCGGUGAAAGUUUGCAGCUUAACUGUAAAAAUGCCGUUGAAACUGUCGGACUUGAGUGUAAAUGAGGUAGGCGGAAUGCGUGGUGUAGCGGUGAAAUGCAUAGAUAUCACGCAGAACUCCGAUUGCGAAGGCAGCUUACUAAGCUACAACUGACACUGAAGCACGAAAGCGUGGGGAUCAAACAGGAUUAGAUACCCUGGUAGUCCACGCAGUAAACGAUGAUUACUAGCUGUUUGCGAUACACAGUAAGCGGCACAGCGAAAGCGUUAAGUAAUCCACCUGGGGAGUACGCCGGCAACGGUGAAACUCAAAUGAAUUGACGGGG